GAAAGUUUCAGCGUUGUGACGCUGAAAAGAAAUUCAUUUAGGGUUUUUGAUGUUAUAGUAAUAUUUUGUAGUAAAAAAAAAAAACUAAUAGGCGCCAUUUUUUAAUAGUGCAGAGCAAAGUGUUUUUAUAGUAAUUAAUACAAAUUGUCAGUAUACACUUUUUAACUCUCAAGACAGACUUUGUUUUAUCCCUACUUACAAGGAAUAUACAGAUGUUAAAUGUCAUGAAAUAAUUGAAUAAAUAAUGUUAAGUUCCCUAGUAAUUCAGUAAUCCAAAACUGUGUUCCAACUGUGUGAUUUCAGUACACUGUUUACUUGUCAACUGCUUUUUAUUCUAAAGGUUCUCUUCAAAACUUCACGCAUGGAAGCCCCUGGAUUACGAGCUAAUCCAAAGAAAACUGCAAAGGCUCUUGAACUGAUGGAUUCAACACCUAUAUCAAAGCAACCACACAAGAGAGACUUAACAAGAGCUACCCUGACAAAACAGGCAGCCACACACAUGGUUGAUGCCCUGAAGGAGGAACUGAGAAAACAAAAAGUACCUGAUCCUAACACGGCCCCACCACUUUAAGACUCUGACUUAGACUCUGACGCAACAGCCAUUUCUGAAGAAUCCUCUCCCAUGAAGGAACCAAUAAGAAUUCAUGAAUCAGAAAGUGAGGAUGAUAGCCCAUCACAGUGCCCAAAAAAGAAACCAAAGCUUGACGAUGAAAUUGUCAGUGCAUUGAAAGAGUUGCCAAAGGUAGUAAAAACACUAAAAGAUAUAGUGGCGACCAUGAUGGUGGCUCCAGCCUCAUCAAGUCAAGUGCAACAAACAUUUGUUGGAUCACCGCCUGCAGAAAUGAUGUCCCUGGGUGAAGGAUCAACAUUCCAAAAAAGAAAUUCGAUCGAUUGUCUAAGACCAAAAUGUCAGUGUUUACCCAGGAGCUGGCAGUUGUCAUUUUUGGACACAAGGCUCUGGCGACAUCAAGUCUAACGGGCAAAAAAACAACAACAAACAGCGCUGGACUCCAUCAAAGUGAAUGCGCUCAUUGAUGCUGUGAUUGCUCGUUUUGAAGGGACCACUCCUUCCCAAGUCAGGGCUUUACUUUGACAGAAGUGUAACAAUGAGGGUUAUGCUAAAAAAAUUCAAGAAAGUGGUGUGUUUAAAGGCGAUAAUAAUUAAUUGAGCAUUAUGUAAUAGGCUGAAGUGACCUACUAAAGGGGUAGUCAAAGUUCAUG
Long non-coding RNA from Cyprinus carpio (common carp), 1221 nucleotides. RefSeq lists it as uncharacterized. The record is from RefSeq and is a predicted model, not a curated record. Lineage: Eukaryota; Metazoa; Chordata; Actinopteri; Cypriniformes; Cyprinidae. The transcript has 7 exons.